AUGGACCUGUUGAAGUCUC
RNAcentral lists this small nuclear RNA (19 nucleotides) under Arabidopsis thaliana (thale cress). Its description in RNAcentral is "snRNA_19136". The record is from RNAcentral. Lineage: Eukaryota; Viridiplantae; Streptophyta; Magnoliopsida; Brassicales; Brassicaceae.